GAAAAGAAACCAACCGGGAUUGCCUCAGUAACGGCGAGUGAAGCGGCAAGAGCUCAAAUUUGAAAGCUGGCCCCUCCGGGGUCCGCGUUGUAAUUUGCAGAGGAUGCUUCGGGCUCAGCCCCCGUCUAAGUGCCCUGGAACGGGCCGUCGGAGAGGGUGAGAAUCCCGUCUGGGACGGGGUGCCUGGGUCCAUGUGAAGCUCCUUCGACGAGUCGAGUUGUUUGGGAAUGCAGCUCUAAAUGGGUGGUAAAUUUCAUCUAAAGCUAAAUACUGGCCGGAGACCGAUAGCGCACAAGUAGAGUGAUCGAAAGAUGAAAAGCACUUUGAAAAGAGAGUUAAACAGCACGUGAAAUUGUUGAAAGGGAAGCGCUUGCGAUCAGACUCGCCUGCGGGGUUCAGCCGGCAUUCGUGCCGGUGUACUUCCCCGUGGGCGGGCCAGCGUCGGUUCGGGUGGCCGGUCAAAGGCCCCGGGAAUGUGUCGCCCUCCGGGGCGUCUUAUAGCCCGGGGUGCCAUGCGGCCUACCUGGACCGAGGAACGCGCUUCGGCUCGGACGCUGGCGUAAUGGUCGUAAGCGACCCGUCUUGAAACACGGACCAAGGAGUCUAACAUCUACGCGAGUGUUUGGGUGGCAAACCCAUACGCGCAGUGAAAGCGAACGGAGGUGGGAACCCUUCGGGGCGCACCAUCGACCGAUCCUGAUGUCUUCGGAUGGAUUUGAGUAAGAGCGUAGCUGUGGGGACCCGAAAGAUGGUGAACUAUGCCUGAAUAGGGCGAAGCCAGAGGAAACUCUGGUGGAGGCUCGCAGCGGUUCUGACGUGCAAAUCGAUCGUCAAAUUUGGGUAUAGGGGCGAAAGACUAAUCGAACCAUCUGGUAGCUGGUUCCUGCCGAAGUCC
This 895-nucleotide ribosomal RNA is filed under the name Monascus sp. (in: ascomycete fungi). RNAcentral's name for it is "Monascus sp. (in: Fungi) partial large subunit ribosomal RNA". It matches the Rfam family "Eukaryotic large subunit ribosomal RNA", at positions 56 to 969 of the family's 3401-position model. The record is from RNAcentral. Lineage: Eukaryota; Fungi; Ascomycota; Eurotiomycetes; Eurotiales; Aspergillaceae.